Molecule: long non-coding RNA, 4661 nt
Organism: Pipistrellus kuhlii (Kuhl's pipistrelle)
Lineage: Eukaryota; Metazoa; Chordata; Mammalia; Chiroptera; Vespertilionidae
Exons: 2
Source: RefSeq, a predicted model, not a curated record
ACAAAUGCUGGGAAGGGAUGAAACCUCCAGAGAGAGGCUGGGCUUUCUGCUGACCACGGAGCUGUGUGCUGGAGAGACCCGCUAAGGACAAAGCAAAUGGAAUGUGACCAUAUCUGGGCUCUGAGCGGAGGGAGCAGCUCAUCCCAGUUGUACUGAUUACCCAGAGGGCAUUGUGCAAUGCGGAGCGAGAUUGGGUCUUAAUUAACGUCUGUUGUGAGGGCUCCAGGAUGAAUAGCUCUGCUGAGGGCAGGCCAUAGUCUGCUUCCUGGGCUGGGAGGUGAAGGAAAAGGUACGUUUGGGACUCGGUCAGUGGCUGGUCAGCCUGGAUCACAAAGCCUGUCCCAGGCAGUAUUGGGAGAACAGGUGACAACCGGUUACUUCUGGGCCAUGGAAGGCUCCGGGGGCCUCUCGAGAGGUCUGGUAGUUCCUGGCACAUGGGGAGGAGCCAGCCUGCCUGGCUGUGACUGUGAGGAGCCACAUCUCCCCAGGGCGGGCACAACCUCCAAGAUGGUGUGCACCUUGGCCCUCCAAUUCCUUAUCCACAGUCCGUUCUCGAAAAAAACAGCCAACACGGCAGCUCCCAGUGGCCAGGAUUGCAACACCGAAUGUGUUUGUUCCCCGUGUUUGUGAAAUACCUCAGAGGCACCGUUCCAGUCCCACCUGACUAGUUUUCUGAUUGCCACACAGCCUGGCUCCAUCUGCCAAUACUCCGCCGGGGCUGGCUGGUCAGAGAUCUGGAGAUGUUUGAGGAUUCAGGAUUUCAGAGACCUCAUUUCUGUCUUCCUGGGUGAGGAGGUUCUUACCUUCCCGAAGCUUCUGACUGUCACCUGUCGAACUUGGAGGCAACUCUGGUGUCCUGGAGCAAGUUGUGUGACCUUGGGCCAGUCAUUUGACCUCUCCGAGCUCUUAAUUCCUUCAACUGCAGAGCAAGUAUAACCAUUCCUGUCAGGCACACCAGCCAGGAGGCCAGGGGACCAGCUCCCUCACUAGGCUUCCUGCCCCAAAGGUUACUAACAGCAAAGUUGACCUCAGAUUUCUGAGUGAUUAAAAUUCAAUCUGCACUCAAGUCUUGCAAAUGAAUUACCAUCAGUCUUUGACUGAGUGCAGGAAGAAGAGGCCUGGCUAAUCUAUAACGUAAUGGAGACUGAGAAGCCCCUGGAAAUUGGCUCAAGAAUAUGGUCUGUAGCUCUUACUCAGCCAAAAGAAGGGGCUGUGAGAGGCAUGUGACCUUAUACAUCAUGUCCUUCAUUGAUCUCCUUCAAGGAAGGGGGAAACCUGGAACUGAGGAGAAGAGUUAAUAGUUAGUGGGCUUCUAUUAACUGCCAAGUACUGGAUAGCUAUUGUUGUGUUGGCUGUUGUCAUUUUUUUUUUUUUAAAUUGAACUAUCUAAGGAAAAAGAGCUUAGUGUCCCUGACUAAAUAGGUAUUGCAUGUUUGAAAGAUUUUUGCAGCACACCGGUUGAAACCUGCUGCUCAAGGAGCUAGGACACAGGAGAUAACUGAGACCCAGCAUGGUGACAUGACUUGCUCAAGGUCAUACAGCUGGAAGUAGAAUGUGCCAGUUGCCUCUUAUCUUUGAUGAUCCAGACAGCCAGACCACAGCCUGGGUGGGAUGAGCUUGCACUGCUGGACCAUUUGUUUAUCUUCAUGUGCGUCUUCCGUGAGUUACUCUCGGGUGAGAAGAAUAUUUGACCCCUAUUGAGAGAGGCUGCCUUUCACAAUCUCAGUUCCCUAGCUGGGAUGUGCUGAGCUGACAAAAUGUACAGAGAAGAGUUAGCUAUUUUUAGGAUGAAUUAGCAGGCACUGCAAAGUUCUACUCUUUUUAUGUGCCAAGUGCUUUACAGGCAGUGUAUUGUUUAAUUCUAUUUUGCAGAUAAAAGUGUCUUGACCAAAGCCACAGAGAGAGGGUUAGUGAAGCUGGAAUUCCACCUUUGGUCUUCCUGGCUCCCAGGCCCAUGUUCUCCCUAUGAGGAUGAAAUUACAAUGGACAGGAAUCCACAGAAAGGGAAACCCGAAGAAUGAAAUCAUCCAUGUCCUGAAGAAUUUGUUGAGUGGGUUGUUUUGCGGGGUAGAGCAGCAGGUUCAUGGAUGAGAAAGUUGGGGAUUCUGGCUCAGGGGAGCACCCAUCUAACAAGGGAGGUGUGCGGACUUGUCUGCUGUCCACAUCCUUCAUUUUCUUUUUGGGAUCUCCCCUUCCCUCACUGCGUGCCACCCUGGGGUCUUGCCAGUCCAGGUUCCUGCACUCCUUUGUCCCCAAAUGGAAAACUAGACAAUGAGAAUGUAAAUUAUGACCCCUGAACUGAGAAUGCCUGGAGCUGAUUGGUUAUGGUAGCAUCCCCUGGAAGAUAACUGCCCACUUGUUCCUGCCAUCUGACUGCUGUGCUUUUCCUUCUUUCUGGGAGCUUUCUUGUGGCAGAUGCCAUAGCUUGAUUUACUUAGUUCCUCCUCCCCCUCCCCGGAGGACUACAGUAAGUAAGAAAAUGUCCGCUGAAGUUAUUUUCAGAAGGAUGGAGGUCUUUGAGGAAUGAGUUAAACCCCCAGCUUUGUAACAGAACCAUGGGCUGGUCUCUUUCAUUCUCUGAACCUGAGUUUUCCCAUCUAUAAAAUGGGGCUUCAACAACCACCAUAGGGAGAAACGGAUGAAAUGAAAAGCAUACAUGUGUUAUAACUAUUUUUUGAUCCAGCUCUCUAUUGCUGCAUUUAAAAAACCCUAAAAAUUUAGUGCCAUAAAACAACAUUUACUUGGCUUCUGAGUCAGCAGGGAAUCACUUAUCUUAGCUCCACUCAGUUUCAGCUGAAGGUGGGUCUAGAGUUGCUGCUGGCGGGACUGUCAGUCAAACGUCUUUAAUAGCCUCUUUGUGUGGCUGGGGCUUCCUUAGUACAACAUGGCGGCUAGGCUCCCGGGAGGAGCACCAGUGGAAGCAGCACUGCCUUUGUGAUGUAGCCUUAGAAAUCACAGUGUCACUUCUACUUUCUUUUAUUAAUUAGGAAUGAGUCAUUAAAGCUGGACCACAUUCCAGAGGAAAGAAAUUAGCCUACAUCUUUUGAGGUGAGUAGGACAAAGAAUCUGUGGACAUGUUUUAAAACCAACACAUUCUUCUAGCAAGUUGUAUUGUGUUGCAAUGGGCGAGGUAGGGAUGGGGAUGAGCUAUGGAGAGGCGAGCUGAAGUCUCAUUUCUAUUUUGCAUUGGCCUUAAUGAGGCAAACAACACUUACCUGGCUGACAUCACAGCUGAAGCACUGCCUCUGAUGGUGUUAAAUAUUAUAUUGUAUUUCAGAGCUAGAGGGGCAGUAUCAGGACUCGUUUGGUUGAACCUAGUUCAAGCUGACUUAUAUUGUAUAACAAAGGAUUUAUUGUCUUAUGUAAAUAAAAAGUCUAGAGCAUGUGCUUCAUGCAAUGCUUGAAGGCGAUCUACCCAGCAGCACAAGGAUGCCGGGGAAGACCAGGUUUGGCUCUACUUCUUCACUUUGCUAGUUCUAUUUUUGGUUGCAAGAUGGCUUCCAGAACUUCCUUAGUUAUGUGAUGAUGAUUAUUAUUUGCAUCCAGAGAGAGAGAGAGACACUGUCUAAACCUUGGCCUCAAGACCCCUGAACUUCACCUCAGUCUCCAGGACUUCUGGCAGGUAUGGGUACCCCAGGGGAAUCUGCCUUCCAUGACCCAACCACAGAAGGAAGAUGAGAGACCUGGGUGGCUGGUGAGAGCACAGAAGGCUGGGCCAACCUGUUCUGGUGCCCUGGGCAAUGCUGGCUGCAAUGAGGCCGCAUGCCUGCCAGAGCCCUUGGCUAAACGGGAGUAUCUUCGAGGUAAGGGGCAGUGCAUCUCUGCUCUUCCCCCCACACCCUCCCAUGGCUUAGGUUUCUGUGAGGAAAGGGUUCUACAAUAGAAAGGACUGGUAUAGGAGCGAAAACCUCCAGGUUCUAGUCCAGGUGCUACCUCGGCACUCUGGGAUCCCAGCCUCAGUUUCCUUAAUUGUCAAAGAGGGCUGAUGGCCCCUGCCUAGCCUUCUUCUUCCCCAAGACACCAGAAUUCAAAGGCAGUAGAACCAGGUUGUGAAAGACCAGGGCCCACAAUACACACGUUAGAUGAUUAUUAUUGUUAAAAAUAAUCAAUGGCUUGGAAGGUGGCACCCAGAGGCUUCUGCAGAACCCAGCCACUGCCAGCAAUUGGUUGCCUUUCCGAUUGAGACGCAGAUAGGAGGGCAGAAAAGAAAAGCGGCUCCUUCCCAAGACCACUGAGUCUCCCGCUUCCCUUGGAGGCCUCCAACUUGUGGAUCGCCUCCUGGUAGAAUAAUUUGUCCUGCUCUGCACCUGUCGUCACCUCCAGAGGUCAGCCGGCUGGAGGUGGGGAGACAGGAGCCCCACACAGAGGGAUGCCUGUGCCCCUUCCUCACCUUACCUGGGUUCCUCCUCCUGCUUCUGUCUCCAGGACUGGGUCUCCCAAGCCCUUGCCACUUGGGGGCUGUGCUGUUCUUCAGCCACAUUUGUUUCCCAUCUGAAACAUCGCUUCUUGGUAUGUGAGAUGCCGUCAAUCCACUUCUUCAUUCUUAAACCAAUACCCUUAACAGAAAGAUUACUGUCAUAGCAGGGGGUGAGGGCAGGACUGGGGGAAUAAGGAUGCAUUUGUAAUACCUUAAUCAAUAAAAAAUACAUAAUAUAAUAUAA